Molecule: ribosomal RNA, 777 nt
Filed under: Vitreoporus dichrous
Lineage: Eukaryota; Fungi; Basidiomycota; Agaricomycetes; Polyporales; Irpicaceae
Description: partial large subunit ribosomal RNA
Rfam family: Eukaryotic large subunit ribosomal RNA
Source: RNAcentral
CCCCUAGUAACUGCGAGUGAAGCGGGAAAAGCUCAAAUUUAAAAUCUGGCAGUCUUCGAUUGUCCGAGUUGUAGUCUAGAGAAGCAUUUUCCGCGCUGGACCGUGUACAAGUCUCUUGGAAUAGAGCGUCAUAGAGGGUGAGAAUCCCGUCCAUGACACGGACUACCAGUGCUUUGUGAUGUGCUCUCAAAGAGUCGAGUUGUUUGGGAAUGCAGCUCAAAAUGGGUGGUAAAUUCCAUCUAAAGCUAAAUAUUGGCGAGAGACCGAUAGCGAACAAGUACCGUGAGGGAAAGAUGAAAAGCACUUUGGAAAGAGAGUUAAACAGUACGUGAAAUUGCUGAAAGGGAAACGAUUGAAGUCAGUCGCGUUAUUCAGAACUCAGCCUUACCUCGGUAUGGUGCAUUUUCUGUUUAACGGGCCAGCAUCAGUUUUGAUUGCCGGAAAAAGGUUAGAGAAAUGUGGCACCUUCGGGUGUGUUAUAGUCUCUAAUUGUAUACGGUGGUUGGGACUGAGGAACUCAGUACACCUUUAUGGUCGGGGUUCGCCCACGUUUGUACUUAGGAUGCUGGCGUAAUGGCUUUAAGCGACCCGUCUUGAAACACGGACCAAGGAGUCUAACAUGCCUGCGAGUGUUUGGGUGGUAAACCCGAGCGCGUAAUGAAAGUGAAAGUUGGGAUCUCUGUCGUGGAGAGCACCGACGCCCGGACCAGAACUUCUGUGACGGCCCUGCGGUAGAGCAUGUAUGUUGGGACCCGAAAGAUGGUGAACUAUGCCUGA